This 254-nucleotide ribosomal RNA is filed under the name uncultured bacterium. RNAcentral describes it as "partial 16S ribosomal RNA". It matches the Rfam family "Bacterial small subunit ribosomal RNA", at positions 1237 to 1500 of the family's 1533-position model. The record is from RNAcentral.
UACGAGAGGGCCGCUACCACGCGAGUGGAUGCCAAUCCCUAAAACCCUCUCAGUUCGGACUGGAGUCUGCAACCCGACUCCACGAAGCUGGAUUCGCUAGUAAUCGCGCAUCAGCCACGGCGCGGUGAAUACGUUCCCGGGCCUUGUACACACCGCCCGUCAAGCCAUGGGAGCCGGGGGUACCUGAAGUGCGUAACCGCGAGGAUCGCCCUAGGGUAAAACUGGUGACUGGGGCUAAGUCGUAACAAGGUACC